This 253-nucleotide ribosomal RNA is filed under the name uncultured bacterium. RNAcentral's name for it is "partial 16S ribosomal RNA". It matches the Rfam family "Bacterial small subunit ribosomal RNA", at positions 524 to 776 of the family's 1533-position model. The record is from RNAcentral.
UACGGGGGGGGCAAGCGUUGUUCGGAAUUACUGGGCGUAAAGGGCUUGUAGGCGGCCAACUAAGUCAGACGUGAAAUCCCUCGGCUUAACCGGGGAACUGCGUCUGAUACUGGAUGGCUUGAGUUCGGGAGAGGGAUGCGGAAUUCCAGGUGUAGCGGUGAAAUGCGCAGAUAUCAGGAAGAACACCCGUGGCGAAGGCGGCUCUCUGGGACGGUACUGACGCUGAGACGCGAAAGCGUGGGGAGCAAACAGG